UACGUAGGGUGCAAGCGUUGUCCGGAAUUAUUAGGCGUAAAGAGCUCGUAGGCGGUUUGUUGCGUCGGCUGUGAAAUCCCGAGGCUCAACCUCGGGUCUGCAGUCGAUACGAGCAAACUAGAGUGUUGCAGGGGAGACUGGAAUUCCUGGUGUAGCGGUGAAAUGCGCAGAUAUCAGGAGGAACACCGGUGGCGAAGGCGGGUCUCUGGGCCGAUACUGACGCUGAGGAGCGAAAGCGUGGGGAGCGAACAGG
This 253-nucleotide ribosomal RNA is filed under the name uncultured bacterium. RNAcentral describes it as "partial 16S ribosomal RNA". It matches the Rfam family "Bacterial small subunit ribosomal RNA", at positions 524 to 776 of the family's 1533-position model. The record is from RNAcentral.